This 1000-nucleotide ribosomal RNA is filed under the name Bacillus pumilus. RNAcentral's name for it is "bacterial SSU rRNA". It matches the Rfam family "Bacterial small subunit ribosomal RNA", at positions 46 to 1038 of the family's 1533-position model. Lineage: Bacteria; Bacillati; Bacillota; Bacilli; Caryophanales; Bacillaceae. The record is from RNAcentral.
GCCUUUACUGCAAGUCGAGCGGACAGAAGGGAGCUUGCUCCGGAUGUAGCGGCGGACGGGUGAGUAACACGUGGGUAACUGCUGUAAGACUGGGAUAACUCCGGGAAACCGGAGCUAAUACCGGAUAGUUCCUUGAACCGCAUGGUUCAAGGAUGAAAGACGGUUUCGGCUGUCACUUACAGAUGGACCGCGGCGCAUAGCUAGUUGGUGAGGUAACGGCUCACCAGGCGACGAUGCGUAGCCGACCUGAGAGGGUGAUCGGCCACACUGGGAUUGAGACACGGCCCAGACUCCUACGGGAGGCAGCAGUAGGGAAUCUUCCGCAAUGGACGAAAGUCUGACGGAGCAACGCCGCGUGAGUGAUGAAGGUUUUCGGAUCGUAAAGCUCUGUUGUUAGGGAAGAACAAGUGCAAGAGUAACUGCUUGCACCUUGACGGUACCUAACCAGAAAGCCACGGCUAACUACGUGCCAGCAGCCGCGGUAAUACGUAGGUGGCAGCGUUGUCCGGAAUUAUUGGGCGUAAAGGGCUCGCAGGCGGUUUCUUAAGUCUGAUGUGAAAGCCCCCGGCUCAACCGGGGAGGGUCAUUGGAAACUGGGAAACUUGAGUGCAGAAGAGGAGAGUGGAAUUCCACGUGUAGCGGUGAAAUGCGUAGAGAUGUGGAGGAACACCAGUGGCGAAGGCGACUCUCUGGUCUGUAACUGACGCUGAGGAGCGAAAGCGUGGGGAGCGAACAGGAUUAGAUACCCUGGUAGUCCACGCCGUAAACGAUGAGUGCUAAGUGUUAGGGGGUUUCCGCCCCUUAGUGCUGCAGCUAACGCAUUAAGCACUCCGCCUGGGGAGUACGGUCGCAAGACUGAAACUCAAAGGAAUUGACGGGGGCCCGCACAAGCGGUGGAGCAUGUGGUUUAAUUCGAAGCAACGCGAAGAACCUUACCAGGUCUUGACAUCCUCUGACAACCCUAGAGAUAGGGCUUUCCCUUCGGGGACAGAGUGACAGG